Molecule: ribosomal RNA, 749 nt
Filed under: Escherichia coli
Lineage: Bacteria; Pseudomonadati; Pseudomonadota; Gammaproteobacteria; Enterobacterales; Enterobacteriaceae
Description: partial 23S ribosomal RNA
Rfam family: Bacterial large subunit ribosomal RNA
Source: RNAcentral
AUGGAGCCGACCUUGAAAUACCACCCUUUAAUGUUUGAUGUUCUAACGUUGACCCGUAAUCCGGGUUGCGGACAGUGUCUGGUGGGUAGUUUGACUGGGGCGGUCUCCUCCUAAAGAGUAACGGAGGAGCACGAAGGUUGGCUAAUCCUGGUCGGACAUCAGGAGGUUAGUGCAAUGGCAUAAGCCAGCUUGACUGCGAGCGUGACGGCGCGAGCAGGUGCGAAAGCAGGUCAUAGUGAUCCGGUGGUUCUGAAUGGAAGGGCCAUCGCUCAACGGAUAAAAGGUACUCCGGGGAUAACAGGCUGAUACCGCCCAAGAGUUCAUAUCGACGGCGGUGUUUGGCACCUCGAUGUCGGCUCAUCACAUCCUGGGGCUGAAGUAGGUCCCAAGGGUAUGGCUGUUCGCCAUUUAAAGUGGUACGCGAGCUGGGUUUAGAACGUCGUGAGACAGUUCGGUCCCUAUCUGCCGUGGGCGCUGGAGAACUGAGGGGGGCUGCUCCUAGUACGAGAGGACCGGAGUGGACGCAUCACUGGUGUUCGGGUUGUCAUGCCAAUGGCACUGCCCGGUAGCUAAAUGCGGAAGAGAUAAGUGCUGAAAGCAUCUAAGCACGAAACUUGCCCCGAGAUGAGUUCUCCCUGACCCUUUAAGGGUCCUGAAGGAACGUUGAAGACGACGACGUUGAUAGGCCGGGUGUGUAAGCGCAGCGAUGCGUUGAGCUAACCGGUACUAAUGAACCGUGAGGCUUAACC